GCCAAUUCCAUUAGAGAUGGGGACGAUUUCGACUCUUAAAGGUUUGCUCUUGGGGAACAACAGUUUUUCUAGGUUGAUUCCAGAAUCCCUAUUGAACCUGACGAAAAUGACCUUUUUGGAUUUGAGCAAGAACAAUUUUGGUGGGGAUAUACAAAAGAUUUUUGGGAGAUUCACACAGUUGAAGUUUCUUGUUCUAGACGGAAAUUCAUACUCAGGAGGGAUUAGUUCUUCUGGUAUUCUCAAGCUACCAAAGAUUUCUCGUUUAGACCUGAGUUAUAACAAUUUCUCAGGCCCAUUACCUGUUGAAAUCUCUCAAACGCAAAGUUUGAAUUUCUUGAUGCUGGCCUACAAUCAAUUUACAGGUGCUAUACCACCUGAGUAUGGAAACUUGCCGCAGUUACAAGCCCUUGAUCUCUCCUUCAACAGGCUUUCUGGAUCAAUCCCAUCAGCCCUCGGAAAAUUGAGCUCUCUUUUAUGGUUAAUGCUUGCAAACAACUCCCUUAGUGGUGAAAUUCCACCUGAUCUCGGAAACUGCAGCAGCUUGUUAUGGCUAAACCUCGCCAAUAAUCAAUUUUCUGGAAGAAUCCCUGCUGAGUUGGCAAAGAUUGGGAGAAAUGCUACUUCAACUUUUGAAUCAAAUCGGCUACGCAAUGACAGCAUGCUUCCUGGUUCUGGUGAGUGCUCGACAAUGAAGAGGUGGAUACCAGCAGACUAUCCACCUUUCAGUUUUGCGUAUACAAUUCUCACGAGGAAGACUUGCAGGCACAUAUGGGAUCGGUUGCUUAAAGGUUAUGGCCUUUUCCCAAUGUGCACUGCCGGUUCAAUGGUGAGAAUAUUACAAAUCUCAGGUUAUCUUCAACUUAGUGGGAAUAAGUUUUCGGGUGAGAUCCCUUCAGAUGUUGGAAUGAUGAGGAAUUUCAGUAUGCUUCACUUGGGUUUCAAUGACUUCAAUGGUAAACUGCCUGCACAGAUUGGACAGUUGCCACUUGUAGUCCUAAAUAUCACCCAAAACAAAAUUUUCAGGAGAAAUUCCAGCAGAGAUUGGGAAUUUCAAAUGCUUACAGAAUGUAGAUUUGUCAUACAAUAAUUUUUCUGGCAUAUUUCCAACAAGCUUCAACAACCUGACUGAACUGACCAAGUUAAACAUUUCAUACAAUCCGCUCAUUUCUGGUGUAAUUCCAUCAACUGGGCAAUUGGCAACGUUCGAGAAAGAGUCCUACCUGGGUAAUCCACUACUGGAUGUUCCAGAUUUUAUUGACAACAGAACAGAUAACCUGCCAAACCAUAACCAGAGGCAGAAAACCAUCUACAAAGUUGGCUGUGCUUGUAGUGUUAUUAGCUCUGACACUGGCCUUCUGAGAUCUCGGGGUUGUGUUGUACCGAUUGAACUUUUUAUAUAUAUAUAAAGAAGAUAGAAGGGAAGAAUGAAAGGUUGUAUGUAUUAAAAUUAGAUUCUUAAAUUUGAAUGUCACUCAUUACAAAUGUUUUUUUUUAGCUACAAGUAAGAUGUUAGUUAUUGUCUUUGGUGGCUUUAGGGAUAAGGUAAGCUUCAAAUAGUAUUCUUUGUCACCAAGUCUACUAGUCAAGGCGACUACAACAGCCUUUUGCUCUAGAUUUUUCACCUAUAGGGCUUUCGCAUUGAAACACGUAACAUAGUCUUUUAAAGACUUGUUUCUACCUUGAUGGACUAACAUAAGAUUCAAUAUAGUUUUCUUAAUUCUCCUACUGCUGACAAAACAGGAGAGGAAAAAAUGGCUAAGCUUUUUAAAUGUGAUGAUCGACCUUGGUUUAAAGCUAUAGUACCAAGAUUGAUCUGCCUUUUUAAGGGUUAUGGCCAAUCUUUUACACAUCAAGGCUUCAUUUGCGCCCUACAUCUUUAUAUUAGUUCUAUAAAGUUUCAAAUGAUAAAAAAGGAUCAAAGGUACCAUCGUAAGUCUCAAGGUCAACAUUUUGAAUCCCUUUGGGGGCAUUAUUCUAUCAAUUUCUUCGAUGAAUAACAAAGUCUUCAGGAAAUUUAGCUCGUCUUCAAAAGCAGUAGCUUUCCCUUUUAGCUCUUUUUUCAUAGCCUACAUUUUGGCCUUCAGAUCUUUGUUCCAUUAGGGUUUUUAGUCGGUUUGUUUGAAUUUUUAUAUGGUUUCAUAGGUGGAGUUGUGGUUGGGAUAAUGGUGAUAAAUGGCUAGGGUGGCAUGUUCUUCUUCCCUAGUGGCUGAAGAGAUUAACUCCUUCAUAAUUCAGUUGUCUCUAUAUUGGUUGUCUACUAAGGUGAUUAGAAGGGUUACUUUUGAGGCUUGGGGUGGUGUUAUGCUUUGGACCAUUUGUUUAAGGGCUUAGAUUUGUUAAUUCAAAAGGUUGGAAUUGCUCCAUGGUUGGUUCUACUUGCAUCUACGUAAGUCAAUCUAUAUGUUGGCUAUCGUGAGUUUCUGUCCUAGCCGGGACGGUUGGUUUUCCUUUCUCGUUGGCUCUUUUUCUAUAUGGCAUGGUGUUUGGCUUGGCUAAAGAAUAGGCCCCUUACUUGGCACGUCAAAUGUUUGUGGUGAACUCCGAGUUAAAGGUAAGGACUUUGAAGUCACGAGAGAAAGAGAACAAUUAAGAGCAAAGGCAGAGGGCGUUCCUUACGUUUGUGCUUCGACAUUCAAGUCAGAGGUUGGCUAAAAAAGGUCAAAAGGAAAAGAAAAUAGAAAAGUAAAAGAGAAAGUUAAAUUCGAUUAGAUAGUACCUGAAUGGCUCUUUUAAUAGGCGAAAGAUAAGGGAUCUAUAAGGUAAGAUAGUGACAUGGUUGAGCUAAUGUGGCAUUAUAUGUGUCAGGUCAACUUAACAUGUGAGGUCGACCUAAAAGUAAAAAAUGUUCUUGAUUGUCUACUGACAGUAUCUAAUGAGAAAAAAGACAAUUUAUUCUCUGAACCAAAAAAUACUCCUAACACCAUAUUUGUAAGAAGUUAUGUAAAAGACCAGUACAAAUUAGAGAUCUGGACUUCAAAAUUUUUUUUUUUAUUUUUACUUUGUUGAAAAUUAUGCUACAAUAUCAUUGGAUACUUAGUUCAAAUGGUUGAUUCAAGUAGUAAAAAAAGUAAUUUGUUAUCUAGGUUUGAAUAGGUUAUGAUAAGGUAAUUUGUUUUGAAUUAACUACUGGAAUUAACAUGAAUAUAUAUAUAUAUAUAUAUUUAUGUAAAACCCAAAAAUCUCUUUCUCACUUAAUGGAAAAAAAAAAUCUUAUGCUCCAAUUGUCAAUACAAAGCAAGCAACCAAGGCAAGGAACCCAAACUUUGGCAGACCUGCUCUCUCCCUUUCUGGGGUAGUAAAAUCUUGGGCGAUUUGUGAGAUCUGCAGCUCAAAUUUGGGCCAAGGUGUUUUACCCUAAGACUAGACUUCAGGGCUCUUUUAUAGAAGCCCAUUCCAAUGCUUAUUUUUUUUUGGAUAAAUGGUAUUUUUAUUAAUCCAAACAAGCAGAAAAACCCGCUAUGAGUCAGCAAAUCAACAAAUGAAGUGUAGCAUCUACCUAUAGAAUCCCCCAAUUUUUACGCUUUGCUUCAUGCUAAUAUUCUUGAAAAAUUACUAUUUAUUUACUUACUCUUCAUUACUUAACAUGCUUUGAAUGUGGGGUUUCAAAGUUCACCAAUGUAAAUUUUAAUUUAGAUGUAAAAGAAUCUAAUAUAUUUGAUCUCAAUUUAUGUACUUAAAACAAGUCUAUCAAUUUCUUUAGUCGGCCAAUCGGGCUUUCUUAUAUUUUCAUCUAAUGGGAAAAGAAUGAUAGACCAUUUUUUUUCUCCCUUAAGUUACAUGUUUGUCAUCUUUUCCUUGCUUGGUAAGUCACGUUCACUCCAUUUUUUUUUCUUGGUCUUUGCUCCCAAAUUUCAAAAGGAAUUAAGUCGUUGCUGUGUAGGAAGCAAACACGAUAACACCCUGGAAAUGGCAACCCAAAUUUUUCCAAAAGCUAAAGCGGAUUAAAUCUCGCAUCAAGCGAUGGUAAUAUAUCUUUGUUUCGGUCAAAGUUUUCGUCAAAUUCCAUUUCUUUGUCGUGGAAAAAAAAUCAUGGCUAUCUAUGUCCUUUAUUAUGAACAAAUAACUUGAACAAUCACGUCUAAACUUAAUCAAACAAGUAAAUUUUUUUUUUAAUUUUAAAGGGCUCUCACAUCAUAAAUUAUACCCUCUAAUGUGGUGAAAAUUUUCAAUUGAGUUCCUAAAUAAACACUAAAUCCAGCAGUUUCGUUAACAGUACAAGUAAAAAGAAUUUAUUGAGUCAGGAUGAUAAUUUUAUAAAAUAAAAAUACAUAUAUUUAUCAUUAAAUUACUGACAGAAAAUUUCAAAUAGCAAAACAAGGAAAGGGGCAGCAAGGCAUCUAUAAACUGAGAGAUGAUUUUAUUUUAUUUUUCAAAAAGUGAAAUUAGAAGGUCAAUUUUUUUGGCAAAGAAACCUUGAUCAGUCGGUCCUGGUAGAAUCCCAUGCGUUACAUGUGGUUGCCAAAGGUUCAAAAGGUGACUCUCCCUAUCUGGGGUCCAGACUGGCAAAUUGUAUGACUAUCUCUUUCAACUUUCCUAGAUAUAGGCUGUGACUGUGAGGCAAGCUGCGUCUGCUUGCUGAGAAACAUUUUGAUUCACCUCACAAAAUGAAACUUUUUGCACACUAAGUUUGUAACUUCUUUGAAAUCAUGCAUGAAAUAAUAUAAUAAAAUAAAACAUAUAGAUUAAUUAAAUUUAAUAAUUUUAAAUAUGAUAUAAUAAUAUGAUAUAAAAAUAAUACGAUUUAAAAUUUUAACUAAAUCAUAUAUGAAUAUUUAAAAUAUCGAUAUAAAUUAUAAAAUAAUAAUUUUAAUGUUUUAAUCUAUUUGACGUAAAAUAAUAAUAUUAACAUAAUUUGUGAGAAGUUUACAGUUUCACCAUCACUGUUGUAUAGAAAACAAAUUAACACUAUAAUAUUUUUUUUUUCUUUUUGGAGAGAGUUUUAGAGUUAAUUGUACGUUUGGUAAUGUGAAAGAUGCCACAUACGACCAAAAGUUUCAGCCCCUAAUUAUUAUAUGUGAACAAAUGUUGUAAAAAUUCAGCAGUUUCCGUUGUGUGGAAGCAAAGGGAAAGCGUGAUUAAUUGUAUUUGGGAGUUGUAAGAGAAACAGCCGAACCCCCUACAAUUUUAAUUUGGUGUGAGGGAAACUGUGGAAACUCAGACAGUGAACAGAUUUUUCUUGAUUCAAAAAUUUUGAAGGUCAAAAGUCAAUAUAACUUCCACACGUUCUCAAAUGAUGUGACCUCACCAUUGUCUUUUGUAAUCAAAUUUUCAUUUUGAAAAUUUUGGAUACAUUUGGUGGACUCCAAUGGUCUAAUACAUGCCAAAUGAAGUAAUUAGGGUUAACUUUUUUUUUUUUUUGUAAUUUUAAUUAUUGGAGUUUAAAACUUAAGUUCUUAGCCGAUGUUAAUGUUAUUUAAUUAAUAAUUUAUUAGUUGAAACCCAAAAUUUAAGUUUAUUAAUUUAUAUUAUAUUUAGUAAUUAAAAUUAAAAUUUUAAUAUUUAUAAUCUCUUUUUUAUCUCGAAAUUACAACUUUUUUUAUAUAUAAAAAACAAUUCAUUUAUUGGUAUAAUGUUAGCUAACUAAGAAUAACUAACAAAAUUAAUCAAGUAGAAUAUUGACUAAAUCAUAUUGAGGGCCUUUAAAUAAAAAAAAAUCCAAUUAUUAAAAACUAAAAUUUUAUUAAAUUAACAAAUAUUAACCAAAUUAAUUUAUAUUUGACAAAGUGCUUUGUGUUCUACUUAAUAAAAAUGGCUAAUUUUGAGAUUUUUUUUUGUUUUUUUAAAUUCAAGGGAAUUAAUUGAAAUCAUUAUCAAUGUGUCUUACUGUUAGAAAGAUCGAUUCCUUUUCCAAAAAACAAGAAAAUAAAUGAAAAUUUUAAUAUGUAUAUGUGACCGUGUUGAAUUGAAUAGAAUUGUUAAGUAUUUAAUUUAAAAUUAAUUAAUAAAAAAAUUAAAAUUUAAUAAAUGUGAAAUAACACCAUUUAAUUUUUUUUUUCACAUAUAAGCCCAAUACUAAUAUUAACCACUAUGAUUUUCUUAUGCCCAAAAGAAAAUUAUGAGAAUGUAUACUAUGUUGAUGGGGCAGUUUUGUUUUAAUAAAACAGAUCGAAAAAAAAAUUAUACGCAUUCAAAUUCGAAUUUUAAAUUUAAAUGCCACUGAUUUUUUUUAAGCUUGGUCACUGAUCUUCAGUGAAAGCACUGUGUUCUCCCACUGACUUUUCGAAUACGUUUACAACUUUUUAUUAUAUAUACAUAUAUAUUGUCUUACUCCAAAAUUCAUUUCUCAUUUCUUCUCAUGUGUUCAUUUGAUGGGUGUUUAAAGUAACUCAUUACUGCAAAAGUAAAUUGUCUGACAAAGAUGAAGAAGAAGAAGAUCAUGUCAGAAGACCCAGCUGUUGCAUGUAGUUUCACUUUGUUUAUAUUCUUAAUUCUGACUACAGGUAUGUUAUAAUCCUUUUUUAUCAGUUUUGGUCUGGUUUAAUUAGAUUCUAAGUUCUAGUUCCAAUAUCAUAAAUGAUUACAACAAUUCUGUUUAGUAUCAUUACUUGCUUAUAUUCAGUUAUUGAUUGGUGUUUAAAGAGCUUAAAAUCUUGCUGUUGAUAUUAAAUUUUCUUAUGCAUGCAUGAAAAUCUUUCAUGGGGCAGCCCUUUUUUUUUUUUUUUUAUUUCUAUUAAUAAAUUGAUUUUGUGAUUUUCUAGGUUGAUUCCGAUGAUUUAUUGCAAUUUUAUUUCAUAGUCAUGUUUUCCUAUCUGUUUGACUUUAAAAAAUGUCAUAACCGGUUUUAGGAUUGUUAGACAAUUUUAAAAAUAUAUAUAAAAUGUCAUUAUCAAUAUUUUUUUGGUUAAGUAUGAUUGGUUACAUAAUAAAAUUUAUUUUUUAAUAAAAUCUUAAAAUUAAUUUAAACUUUAUUUAAAAGAUAAUUUUGGAGAUUGUGAAUGCAAUUUAGAUUUUUGAAAGUACGAUUAAGCAUGAAAAAAAAUUAACAUUCUAUAACGCUAAUUCAAAGACUAUAUCAAUUAAUCAUUUGUUAUCAUUUAAUCUUGAUAAAAGUGAUCUUAAUUUUGAUAUUUAAAAUUAAUUUCCUCGACUCACUUUAUUUAUCACAAUUUUUUUUAUUUAAUUUUUUCACACAUUUCUCUUUUUUUUAAUGAAAAUUAUUAUUUCAUUUUUAUUUGAAAAAGAUUAUUUGGAAUCUUGAUAUUGAAAAUUUUUUGAAAUGUUCUAGUACAUUUGUAAUAUUAGGAGAAAUUUUUUCACUUAGAGAUUUUUUAGAAAUCAAUACUUGAAUUUCUUAAAAUCUCAUCUUUAGAAAUUUGUGCUUAUUUUUAAUUAAUUAAUAUAAAUAAUAUUCAUGCAUUAUUAUAUGUAAUCUUGUAAAAAAAUAAAUAGAAAAUUUUCUUUUAUUUUUCUUCCAUUUUUUAUUAAAAAAUAAGUAAAUGAAAAUUUUUUGUAUUGAAUAUCUUUCUAAAAACUCUAGUGCUUUGGUAGAAUUUUAGAAAAAUUUUUCACCUUAAAAUUUUAAGAAAUCAUUACUCGAAUUUUCUUAGAAUCUCUUUCUUAGAAUCACAAAAAAUUAUUUGUCAUCAUUUCACUUUUUUAAAAGAAAAUUUUGUUAAUUUUUUUAUUUUUCACAUUUUUCACAUUUUUGUUUGAUGGGUAGAAGAGAAAGAAAUUUUUUUGUAUUAAAAUUUUUUUAUAAAAACUUCAAUAUACUAGUAGUAUUUUAAAAAAAAAUUUUCUCACCUAUAAAUUUUGUAGGAAUUACUACGCGAAUUUCUUUAAAAUGUCAUUAUCAAAAAAAAUUUCUUUUUCUCUUUUUUUAUUUAUUAAACUUUGUACUUGUUUUGUUUUUUUCCUUUUAAAAAAAAUUUAGAUACUAAAUGUUUUUUUAAAAAAUUAAAUAUGCAAAGAUAAAUAAACAAAUAACUUAUCAAAAUAUGUGAAAAACUAAAAAAUCACCUAAAAAAGACUGAUCAAAGCUAAUAAAUAGUUCGGGCGAUCCAAAGUAGUUCAACGGUCUAUCGACAAUUUAAUAAUGAUUUUUUAUGUUCACGGGUGGUUCAUAAUGGCUUAGUCUAGUUCGCUUACUAUUUGCAACGAUUCAUGGAUAGUUUAGCUAAACCAUUCCAAGUUGGUUAAGGGAAAGGGUGUAGGUUGAGCAUGCUGAUCCCAAGUUGAGUCCAAGUCCACACUAGGUCAAGUAAGUUUUUCCUUUUUUUUUUUAACUAUAAAAGCUUUUUUUUUUCAAUUUUUUUUCUUUUCCCCUCCCUCUACAUUCCUUCUCUCUUUCUCCAACCUUCUUUUUAUUUUUUCUAUUCAAACAUCAACAGCCACAUCUAAAUCUAGAAUUUUGCUACCAAUCAUAGCAUCAUCGUCAUCCACCACUGCAGGUUAUUAGUUACUGAUGCAGAAAAAAUCCCAAAAAUACAAAAAAAAAAAUUCUUUUUUUCUUCUUUUUUCUUGUUUUCUAGUUGGUUUUAGCCCAAAACAACUCCGAACUACCUCUAUCUUUACCUAACGUCAUAGCCUAAAACUUAAAAUGCCCAUUAUUUUCAUUGGCCAAACACUUCCUCCUCCUAAUAUGUGUUUCUCCUACCCGUUGCUUUUCUUUUUAUUUGAAAACUAGGCCAUAAAAUGGCCUAGAAUAGAUCCGAUCUACUCAUUUUUUUUGGCUUUUUAUGUUUUUGAUUUUAUUUUUCUACGUUUUUUUGCUUGUGUUGAUUGUGGCUUUCUUUGAGGUUGUAUUUUUUUUUUUAUGUCUGUUGCAAUUUUUUAGAAUGGUAGGUUUUGAUAGGCACUGGUUGUUUUAAUAGUGGUAACUUAAGGUCUAUUUAUUUCUGGCGAGUUUGGGUGUUUUGGGGACUAUGAUGAUGGGGUAAUGUGAUGAAGGCUCGAGUAGUGGAUUUUUUUUUUUGCAGAGUAUUCUUUUCAAAAAAUUGGCCUCAUUUUUUUGUGUUCAUUUCAGCUAGGGUUUACUUUAUUCAAGUUGAGAUCAAAUCCCUUACUUUCGAGGAUCAAAAUAAGUUUACUAGCUGGUUUUCAGCUAGUCAAGUUGGUUGUAUUAGGAUUGAAAUAUUAGGGUAGCUAAUAAGGUGGCUUUGAAGGGAUAAGAGGUGAUGGGUGCUAGUGCCAUGCACGGCACCAUGCUCUAGUUUCUAUCUAUUUUUUUUAAAUUUAUUUCCUUUAAUUAGUUAAUUUUUAAUUAAACUAACUAAUUAAUUUUGAUUAAAAGAAAAUGGGCUUUAAAUUGAAAAUUAAAUUUUGGGCUUUCAAACCCAAUUGAAUUGGAUUCGACCGAUAUGAAUUUUGAAUUGAACCUUAGGCUUUUCAACCUAAUUGACUUAGACUUUAUAUUUUUUGGCUUAAUUAACUUUAAUUAAUUUGAAACAAAAUUUAUCCAUGCAAUUGAGCCCACCCAAGCCCAAAAAAUCCAACUCAAAUAAGAUGUUUGAAAGGAUAUGAAUCAAGACCCAUUUCAAUAACUCCAAACAAAAUUAAGUAUUUACAGCUACUCUUCUCUGUACAUUACUGAAAAUUAAGAAUAAAAUAAAGACAAGAAACAAUAAUUUUGUUUGGGGGGAACCAAUUUACCUUUUUGACAAGACAUAAACAAAACAUAAUCAAAUACAAACAACCCACUCGAAAAACUUGUAAACAUGUUAAAUCUACAUUUUAAUGAAUCAAUUUAGACAUGAUCGAAAAGCUUCUUCCUUCUUUUUUUUUUUGGAAAAUUUUGAAACUAACACCGAUAAACUUAAAGGUUGACCUCAAAAGCUAUUCUCACCUAAGGCUUUACAAUUAUUUGAAAGUUAAAAUGAAACUCUUCUAACCAGAGGCUCCGCAACUUUGAAAAUAAAUUGAAAUGAAAACUCUUCUCACCGAGGUUGCACAUAUUAAAAUAGAAAUAAAAACUCUUCUUAUUAAAAGCUUUAUAACUUUAAAAAUAAACGAAAACUCCUCUAAUAAGAGGCUCUAUAACUUUAAAAUAGAUUGAAAUGAAAACUCCUAUCACAAAAAGGCUCUACAGCUUUAAAAUAGAUUGUGAUAACUCAAAAAUUAUACUCAGAGGUCUUACAAAUCAUGUCCAAAAGUCUCGAUGGUUAUGCCUGAAAGUCUUUAAAAUUUUUCCAUCUUAGAAAUCUUGAAAAAAAAAUCUCAACAUUUUCAAUUCUAAUAAACUUUUACAAUUUUCCUAAAAACUUUUCUAGUUCGCAUCUUAAAAGUCUUAAAUCGUAACAAUAUAGAUUCUACUAAGAAGACUUACAAAUCUUUGUCCAAAGGUCCUACAAAUCUUAACACAAAAUAUGUUCAAAGUGAAAGACUUACAAAUCUUGCUUAAAGGUCUUGUAAAUCUCAACACAAAAACAAAUUUAGUUUGGAAGAAUUAUGAAUCUUACUAAAAUGACUUAAAGACUAUGCUUAUAGGUCUUACAAAUUGAGACAAUAAAGUAGAUUCAACUUAAAAAACAUAUGAAUCUUAUCCGGAGGACUUAAAAACUAUGCCUAAAGGUCUUACAAAUCUCGACACCUAUGAAUGCUCUUCUAAAUAAAGGCUCUACAACUUUAAAAUUUUAACUGAAAAGGUUCUUCCUAAAUAAAAGUUAAAAAACUUUAAAAAUAUCAUCUGAAAAAAAACUAUCCUAAUUAGAGGUAUUUAAACUUUAGAAAUCUCAUCUGAAAAAAGUUUCUUUUAUUAAAGGUACUGAAACUUUAAAAAUCUUAUCUAAACAAAAAAUCAGAGAUUCCCAUAUAAAAAAAUAGAAAUUCAUUCAAACAUUCAUAUAUGAAAAGUUAAAAAUUCAUAAUUGAAAGUUUUCGGGAUUCACAUUGAAAAUUUUAGAGAUUCAUAUUGAAAGUUUCAAGAUUCACAUAGAAAUGUUUGAAAUUCACACUGAAAGGUUCUUGAAAGUUGUAUCAUAAGUCUUUGAGUUUCAUAUCGAAGGUUCAUAAAGGUUCAUAAAUGAUUUUGAAUGAAUUUAAAGGUUCACAAAAGAAGAGUCAAAAUUUGAAAAUGACAUAACUUGAAUUGAAUCAAAAUCUGAAAGUGAAAUGUCUUAGAUAAAGCCCUUGCAAGUAAUGAGGUGACCAAAAUUGAAUUGUAAGUUGAAAAACAAAAUGACCUAAACUAAACUGCAAAUCAAAAAUGAAAUAAUUGGGACUGAGUCACUAGUUGAAAAUUAAAUAACCAAGAUUGAGUUGCAAGUAAAAAAAUGAAAUGACUUGGACUAAAUCGAGAUAAAAAACCAAGGUCUCGAAGUCUUAUGAAACUUGCUCAAAAAUUUUACAAAUCCUGCUUUUCGUUUGAAAUUUGCUCUUUUAAAUAUAGACAAACGAUUUUUGAAAAUUUAAAAUUUUUCUUAAAAUUUAUUUCUCAACCAAAACCUAAAAUCUUUUUUCUAAAAAAUUUUUCUCAACCAAAGAUAAAAAUCAUUGUUCCAAAAUUUUCCUUAUCCAAAGGUCAAAAUUUUAUUCUCAAAAUCCAAUUAAAAUCUCAAUUUUGAAAAGUUGAGUUCAUUAUUUUGAAAUUUUCCUAUCUUUGAAUAACCUUUCCAUCAAAAUCUUGUUUUUUGAAAAUUUCUUCUUGUGCCUCAUGCCAGUGUAAACGUACAUGCGAAUGCCUUUUGUCCAUACGAUGCAAACGCCUCUAUGUAGAUGCAAAUGCAAAUGCAAAUGUCAUUUCCUUGCAGUAUGUAAAGAUGUAAAUAUUGAUGUCUUUCCCAAGAUGCUAAUGCAACUUGUAGAAAUACGAAUGUAGGCAUUCUUUCAUGUAGUUGAUUGACUAUUACAAUGCAAACGCAAUGGGUUUUUUUGUUUUUGUUUUUCAUUUUUCAAAAGAAGAUUUCUAUUCAAAUUUUUGUUGUUCAAGAUUUUACUCUUUACCAAAAAAUGAUUUCAGUAUUCUUUACAAAAUUCUUGACUAUUCUAUAAACUUUUUAAAAGUAAUCACAGCCUUAUAUAAUGUAUUCUAUUAUCAAAGUGUGACUUUCAAGUCUUUUGAAAACUAAUGAUCAUUACCUGAAAUAUCUAUGGAUGAAGUGGUUGACAAUUUAGCUCUUUUUUGACACAUCUUAAGGAAGGUUUCACAAUAAUCACAAUUCAAUAUAAGAAGUAGGUUAAUUUUUUUGGCUCAAACUUUCCAAAAACAUAUAUUUCUUAAAAAUUAAGUGUUUCUUGCGAAGGUUCAUUUUAAAACACAAUCAUUUUGAUACUCUUUGAGUUUCUUAACAUGAUAUUUUGAUACACGUCAAAAUUAGCUUUUAUUCGUGGGCACCAAAUUUGGGUGAUUGGUUUGGAAAAAGAACUUUGGGUUUCACAUGAUUAAUCUUCAAGAAAUGUUAAAUCUUUAAUCAUCAUUGAUUUUUCAAUAUCUUCCUUGGUUGGUCCAUUAAGCACUUAAAAAAUUUAAAAUUCAUCCAAAAUAACUAAUAAAUUACAAAGGAUAAUAUUGGCAAAGAAAAGAAAAAAAAAGCCACAUUGGUUAUGAUGAUUCUUCAACGAAUAAGCUCUUUAGUUUUAAGUUUUCAUACUUAAUCAAAAUUAACUUUUCAAGGUACAUAAUGUAGGAUGGGGUUCAAGGUUUUAAAAUAAUGGAUAAAUAGGCCAAGAUAAGUGUUUAAAAGUGAUUAAACCAAGGUUUGUUUCAUAUGUAAAGGAAACCCUUUAGGACAUUUAUCUUGAUCUUAUCAUCCCAUCAUCUCAUUUUUCUCAUUUAUUUCCUUUCUCUUUUUUUUUUCAUCAUUUUCACUAUUGCAUUUCCCUAUGUAUUUCAACCUUUGAUGGAAUGGAUUCAAAAUUUUUUACUUUUGCCACUCAUAAUGAGGUAUUAUUCCUUUGUCCUUAGAGCACGACUUCAUUAAUAAUAUUUUUUAAUAGAUCCUUUUUUAUGUUCACCCCUUGUAAUCCUAGGUUAAGGCAUAUUUAAAAAGAAUUCAUUAGGCUCAAAUAGGUAGCAAGUAGUAAAGGAUGAUGAAAUAUGGUCAUUUCUAAUUUCAAAUAUAGCACUUGCACUAAAGAGUAAUUCUUUGGAGCAAAUGGGUUCGAAAUAAUUUGAAUCUUUCUUCAUUUUUUUUAUUUUUGAGGUUUUUUCCUUUUUUUUAAUCUUUGGAAUUUUUUUGGUUUUUCCAAUUUUUGUUCUUGUUUUUUGUCAUUUUAGGUUUUCUAACGUUUUCUUUUUUGAGUCAUAUGAAUAUCUCAAGCGCAUGAUGUAACCAUCAAUCUUUUCUUUCUUUUUUUUCAUUAUUUAUUUAUUUUUCAUGCUUUUUCAAUAGUUAAUCAUUGCUGAUGGUACAAUUCAAAGAGAGGGCUUUAUCUUAAUGUCAAAAAGGUUCAUUUGACAAUGGAAAUCAUGUUGGAAGGGUUCAUGCAUAAUACAUCCACCAAAUGAGAUUGAGAAAUGGUGAAAAUUAUAUUGUCUAAGGAUUAUAGGUAAUUAUGCUUUUGGUCAAUAUGCCUUUAGAUAUAAAAUGAGGAUGACUUUAAAGUAUUUUUGGUCAUUUAAAGAAUGGGUAGUUUUAGUAUAUUCGAAAUUCCAGCAAUAUCCCAACACACGUUGGUAACAUUUGGAGAAAAUUUUCACCUAAGGAUUUUUAGGAAUCACUAGAAUUUUUUUUAAGUCUCAUCCUCGAAAACUCUUGUUUAUUUUUUAAUUAAUUAAUUCAAACACUAUUUAUGCAUUAUUAUAUGUAACUUUGUAAAAAAAAAAUAAAACUCUUUUCUUUUAUUUUUCUUUCAUUUUUAAUUAAAAAAAGUAAAUGAAAACUUUAUUGUAUUGAAUAUUUAAAAAAAAAACAUCAGUUCUUUUGUAAUAUUUUAGAAAAAUAUUCUCACUAAAAGAUUUUAAAAAUCUUUACUUGAAUUUUCUUAAAAUCUCAUCGUUGGAAUCAUAAAAAAAUUAUUUGUCAUCAUUUCAUCUCUUUUAAAGAAACUUUUGUUUAUUAAUUUUUCAAUUUUCAAAUUUUUUGCAUUUUUGUUUGAUGGGUAGAAGAGAAAGAAAAUUUUUUUAUAUUGAAAGGUUUUUAGAAACACUCUAAUACGUUAGUGUUAUUUAAAAAAAAUUAACGUAAAAGUUUCAUAGGAAAAUAACUAUAUAGAUUUUCUUAAAAUCUCAUUAUCAAAAAAUUUUUUUUUCUCUUUUUUUAUUAAACUUUUUACUCGUUUGAUUUUUUUUUCUUUUCUUAAAAAUAUAUAUUCAAUAUAAAAUUUUUUAAAAAUUUAAAUAUAUAAUGAUAAACAAACAAAUAACUUAUCAAAAUAUGACAAAUUUUUAAAAAAAUAAAAAAUAAAAAAUUACUUAAAAAGGACCUAUUAGAGUCGGUCAACGAUUCGAGCGGUCCAAAACAGCAGCUCAGUAAUCUAUUAGCUGUUCAAUUGUGGUUUUUCUAUGGUUCUCGGGUGGUUCAAAGCGGCUCAAUUUGAUUCGCUUACAAUUUGGAGCAAUUCACGGGCGAUUCAAUUGAAUCAAUCCAAAUUGGUCAAGAAUAAGGUGCGGGUUGGGCAUAUGGACUCCGGGUCGAGUUUGUGUCCAAGCCCAAAAUAGCUCCGAACCGCCUUGAUCUGGACCCAAAAUCACUGCCUAAAAGUACCCUCUUUUUCCGCCGGCCAAACACCUAUUCCGCCUAAUAUGGUUUUCUCUUGCCCGCCGCCUUUUCUCCUCUAAAAACUAGACCAUGAAACCGCCUAGAACAGAUUUGAUCUACUCAUUUUUUCUAGCCUUUUUUAUGUUUUUGUUUUUUUUUCUUCCUUCUGUACACUUUUAAAAUGUGUUGAUUGUGGCUCCCUUAGAGGAUGUGGUUUUUUAUUUUUGUUAAUGGAUGUUGGGAUUUUCUAGGUGGUGGGUCUUGGUGGGCACUGAUGAUUUUAAUGGUGGUAACUUCGAGUCUAUUUGUUUUUGGCAAGUUCGGGUGUUUUGGGGACGGUGGUGAUGGGGCAAUGAGUGUACGGUGAUGAAGGCUCGCGUAUUGGAAAUUUUUUUUUUUUUGCAGGGUUUUCUUAUUCAAAAAUCUGCCUGCUUCCUUUUCGUAUUGAUUUCAGCUAGGAUUUAUUGUGUUCAGGUUAGGAUCAAAUCCCUUAAAUUCAAGGAUCAAAAUCAGUUUACCAAUUGAUUUUCUACCGGUCAUGGUGAUUGUAUUGGAAUUGAAAUGUUAGGCUAGCAGGCAGGGUGGCUUGGAGGGGAUGGGAGGUGAUGGGUGCUGGUACCAUAAACUACACCAUGCUCCAGUUUCUGUUUCUGUUUUUUUUUUUAAUUAGUUAAUUUUUAAUUAAACAAACUAAUUAAUUUUAAUUAAAAGAAAAUGGGCCUUAAAUUAAAAAUUGGAUUUUAGGCUUUCAAUCCAACUGAAUUGGAUUAACUUAAAUGAAUUUUGAGUAAAAUUUUAGGCUCUUCAACCUAACUGACAUGGAUUUCGAAUUUUUCAAUUUUAUUGACUUAAAUUGAUUUGAAACCAAAAUUUAUCCAUGCAACCGAGCCCGCUUAAGCCUAAACAACCAACUCAAAUAAAAUAUCUGAACGAAUAUGAAUCGAGGCCCGUUUCAAUUACCCUAAACAAAAUUAGGUAUCUACGAGGAAGAUUGUCUUUGCUUGAUGUGUUCAUAAGUUCUGUUAUUUACAGGUAUUAUUGUGGCCGGAGAUUGUUUAGACAGAGACAAAGAAGUUCUACUGAAUCUGAAAUCAUUCCUGGAAGAAAAGAAUCGCGUAAAUCGAGGAAGAUACUCAGAAUGGAAUGCUGACAACUCGACACCAUGUCAGUGGCAUGGAAUAUCUUGUUCUCCUGAAGGACAAAGAGUCAUUGGAAUAGACCUCUCUGACAACUAUAUUUCUGGUGAAAUGUUCAAUAGCUUCUCAGCCUUAACCGAACUUCAAGAACUUGAUCUCUCAAGAAACACCAUUGGUGGAGCCAUACCUGACGAUUUGAACCGAUGCAGUAGCCUUGUGUACCUCAACUUAUCACAUAAUAUCCUAGAAGGAGAGCUGAACCUGACAGGGUUGAAUAGUUUAGAGAAGCUUGAUUUGUCUAUGAAUAGGAUUCAUGGGGAAAUUAAAGUUAAUUUUCCAGCAAUUUGCAGGAGACUGAUUGUUGCAAACCUUUCAACUAAUAAUUUCACGGGUAGAAUGGAUAGCUGCUUUGAUGAAUGCUGGAAUCUGCAGUAUCUGGACUUGAGUUCUAAUGAUUUUGUUGGCAAUAUAUGGAAUGGAUUUGCAAGACUUGUGGCGUAUUCAGUUUCUGAAAACUUUGUUUCUGGGACACUUUCAAGAUCAAUGUUUACGAGUAAUUGUAGUUUGCGGAUUUUGGACAUUUCAGAAAACAAUUUUCAAGGUGAACUUCCGGGGGAGAUUUCAAAUUGCGAGAACUUGGCUAUCUUGAAUAUAGAGGGAAACAAAUUUAUAGGGCCAAUUCCAUCAGAGAUGGGGACGAUUUCGACUCUUAAAGGUUUGUUCUUGGGGAACAACUGUUUUUGUAGGUUGAUUCCAGAAUCCUUAUUGAACCUGACGAAAUUGACCUUUUUGGAUUUGAGCAAGAACAAUUUUGGUGGGGAGAUACAAGAGAUUUUUGGGAGAUUCAAACAGUUGAGGUUUCUUGCAUUAGACGGAAAUUUAUACACGGGAGGGAUUGGUUCUUCUGGUAUUCUCAAGCUACCAAACAUUUCUCGUUUAAGCCUGAGUUGUAACAAUUUCUCAGGCCCAUUACCUCUUAUAAUAUCUCAAAUGCAUAGUUUGAAUUUCUUGAUGCUUGCCUACAAUCAAUUUACAGGUGGUAUGCCCCCUGAGUAUGGAAACUUGCCGCAGUUACAAGCCCUUGAUCUCUCCUUCAACAGGCUCUCUGGAUCAAUCCCACCAGCCCUUGGAAAAUUGAGCUCUCUUUUAUGGUUAAUGCUUGCAAACAACUCCCUUAGCGGUGAAAUUCCACCUGAGAUCGGAAACUGCACUAGCUUAUUAUGGCUAAACCUCGCCAACAAUCAACUUUCUGGAAGAAUCCCUCCUGAGUUGGCAAAGAUUGGGAGUAAUGCGACUCCAACUUUUGAGUCAAAUCGGCUACGCAAUGACAGCAUGAUUGCUGGUUCUGGUGAGUGCUUGGCAAUAAAGAGGUGGAUACCAGCAGACUAUCCACCUUUCAGUUUUGUAUAUACAAUUCUCACAAGGAAGACUUGCGGACACAUAUGGGAUCGGUUGCUUAAAGGAAGUGGCCUUUUCCCAAUGUGCACUCCAGGUUCAAUGGUGAGAACAUUACAUAUCUCAGGUUAUCUUCAACUUAGUGGGAAUCAGUUUUCGGGUGAGAUCCCUUCAGAUAUUGGAAUGAUGAGGAAUUUCAGUAUGCUUCACUUGGGUUUCAAUGACUUCAAUGGUAAACUGCCUGCACAGAUUGGACAGUUGCCACUUGUAGUCCUAAAUAUCACCCAAAACAAAUUUUCAGGAGAAAUUCCAGCAGAGAUUGGGAAUCUAAAAUGCUUAAGGAAUCUAGAUUUGUCAUACAAUAAUUUUUCUGGCAUAUUUCCAACAAGCUUCAACAACCUGACUGAACUGACCAAGUUUAACAUUUCAUACAAUCCGCUCAUUUCUGGUGUAAUUCCAUCAACUGGGCAAUUGGCAACGUUCGAGAAAGAGUCCUACCUGGGUAAUCCACUACUGGAUGUUCCAGAUUUUAUUGACAACAGAACAGAUAACCUGCCAAACCAUAACCAGAGGCAGAAAAAAUCUACAAAGUUGGCUGUGCUUGUGGUGUUAUUAGCUCUGACACUGGCCUUCUGAGAUCUCGGGGUUGUGUUGUACCGAUUGAACUUUUUAUAUAUAUAUAAAGAAGAUAGAAGGGAAGAAUGAAAGGUUGCAUGUAUUAAAAUUAGAUUCUUAAAUUUGAAUGUCCCUCGUUACAAAUGAUUGUAUGAAUUAACUAAUUUUUAUAUUCAAUAAAACGGUUUUUUGUCAUAAAUUAAAUCUAUAGACAAUUUUUAAACAUAAAAUUAUCAAUUAUCAUUUGAUAAUUAUCUUCAUCUUUAUAUAUGAAGAAAAAAAUUACAACAAAUAUAUUUAUAUUCAAUUAUUAGAUAUAAAUAUUCAAUAUAACAGUUUUUUUUCCUAUAAAUUAAAUCUAUAAACAAUUUUAAACAUAAGAUUACCUUUUGUCAUUUGAAGAUUAUCUUCAUCUUUAUAUAUGACAAAUUGAUAACAAAUAUAUUUAUAGUUAACUCUUAAAAAGAGGCUGAGUAAGAUAAAGGAUUUGAAAGGGCAAUAAAAUUUUAAGGCAAAUUGUCCCUUUGACCUGUCCCUUUGAGCGGCUGAGGAUGUGGCAAGAAGAAGAAAAGCCGCAUAAGCUGUCCUCAGGGUGGAGUCUACGCCUAAACAAUUCAGUCCUCCCACUAUGGAAAAGUUACCUGCAAAAUAUCAGCCCCUGGGUAAUGUUCUUAACAUGAAGUGUAAAAGUUACCUGCAAAAUAUCAGCCACUGGGUAAAGUUCUUAACAUGAAAUUCUAGUCUAAGAAAAUUUUCAGUAACUUGGUUUGCUUAUAGAAGUUCUGGGUGAGAACUAUAAGCUCUGAGCUGGCAAAUAGACUGUUAUUAACAAAUUGGUCUAUUCACUAAAUAUUUAUGGGUAAAAAAAAGUUAUGCUCCAAUUGUCAAUAGAAAACAAGGCAAAAACAAGGAACCCAAACUUUGGCAGGCCUGCUUUCUCCCUGGCUGUGGUAGUUAAAAUCGCGGGCUAUUAGAACUAUAGCUCAAAUUUGGGCCAAGGUGUUUUACACUAAGACUAGACUUCUGGCUCUUUUAUAGAAGCCCAUUCCAUUGCGCCAUUCUUUUUUUUUUUUGGAUACGGCAUUUUCAUUAAUCCAAAGAAGCAGCAAAACCUGUUAUCAGUCAACAAAUCAACAAAUGAACUGUAGCAACUUCCUAUACAAUGCCCCAAUUUUUACCCAUUGCUUCAUGCUAAUAUUCUUGGAAAAUUACUAUUUAUGUACAUACUCUUUAUUACUUAACAUGCUUUGAAUAUGGGGUUUCAAAGUUCACCAAUGUAAAUUUUAAUUUAGAUGUAAAAGAAUCUAACAUAUUUGAUCUCAAUUUAUGUACUUAAACCAAGUCUGUCUUUCUUUUCCCCACAGAUUUCAAUUAUUUUUAUUGUUUAUCUUAAUCACAUUUUCUUUACAGUUAUAUACAAAGAUUUUGACUAAUUGAUAUUUUUACAGCUUACUUUUUGUUGUUUGAAAAAUUUUAAGAAAAAGUAAAAAAAUAAAAAGUAAUAUCUAAAUAAAUAAAAAAAUUAGACAAUCAUCAAAAUGAAACACCUAUUAGAACAUAUCAGAAAUUGAGUAAAUUUUGAUAAAAUAUUAAACUUUUAAUUUAAUUAUCAAAAUUUAAUUUUCAGUACGUACAAAGUUAGAGGGUAAGUAAUUUUCCAAAGCAUAAACAGAAGUACAUAACAUGCAUGAAGGGAAAGGAAGAGAAAGAGCCAGGGCCCCUAGUCGGCCAAUUGCGCGUUCUUGCAUUUUCCUCUUAUGGAAAAGAAUGGUAGACCAUUUUUUUUCUCCCGUAAGUUACAUGUUUUUCAUCAUUUCCUUGCUUGGUAAGUCACGUUCACUCCAAUUUUUUUUCCUUGUCUUUGCUCCCAAAUUUCAAAAGGAAUUAAGUCGUUGCUGUGUACGAAGCAAACACGACAACACCAUGGAAAUGGCAACCCAAAAUUUUCCAAAAGCUAAAGCGGAUCAAAUAUCGCAUCAUGCAAUGGUAAUAUACCUUUGUUUCGGUCAAAGUUCCAAGUGACUUGUCAAAGUUUUCAUCAAAUUCCAUUUCUUUGUCGUAGAAAAAAAAUCAUGGCUAGCUUUGUCCUUUAUUGUAAACGAAUAACUUGAUCAAUCAAAUCUAAACUUAAUCAUACAAGUAAUUCUUUUUCAAAUUUUAAAAGACUUUCACUGUAUAAAAAAAAAUUAAUCAUAAAAUACAUCUUUUAAUGUAAUAAAUCUUUUAGUCAAAUUAUUAAAUAGACACUAAAUCGAGCAGUUUCAUCAAUAAUACAAGUCAAAAGAAUUUAAUAAUUCAGGAUGAUAAUUUUUUAAAUUAAAGAUACAUACAUUUAUCAUUAAAGCAAAGACAGCAAUUCUCAAAUAGCAAAACAAGAGGGGAAGGGACAAGGGAAGGGACCACAAGGCCCCUACAAACUCAGAGGUUUUUUUUUUUUUUUUUCAAAAAGUGAAAUAGGGAGUCAAUUUUUUUUGGCAAAGAAACCUCGAUUGAUUGGCCCUGGUAGAAUCCCAUACGUUACAUGUGUUUGGCAAAGGUUCAAAAAGGUGACUCUCUCUAUCUGGGGUCCACAUUCGCAAAUUGUAUCACAAUCCUAGAUGUAGGCUGUGACUAUGAGGCAAGGCUGUAGCCGCUUGCGAUGAAACAUUAUGAUUUGAUCUCACAAAACCAAAUUUUUUGCACACUAAUCUCGGCUUGUGACUCCUUUGAAAUUAUGCAUGAAAUAAUAUAAUAAUUAAUAUAAUAAAAUAAAAUAUAUAAAUUAAUUAGAUAUGAUAAUUUUAAAUAUCAUAUAAUGAUAUAAUAUAAAAAAAUAUUAUUUAAAAUUUUAAUUAAAUUUUAUAUGAACUUAAAAAUUUAGUAUUUGACACGUUAAUGUAAAUUAUAAUAUAAUAAUUUUUAUAUUUUAAUUAUUCAACAUAAAAUAAACAUAAUAUAUAUAUAUAUAUAUGAAUUAUCAAUUUCAAUAUUAACAUCAUUUAUGAUAAGUUUACAAAUUUCAUCGUUGGUGUUGUACAGAAAACAAAUUAACAGUAUAAAUUUUUUUUUCUUUGCUUUUGGAUAGAGUUGUAGAAUUAAUUACAUGGUACGUUUGAUAAUGUGAACGAUGCCAUAUAUGACCAAAAUUUUCAGCCCCUAAUUAUUAGAUGUGAACAAAUGUUGUAAAAAUUCAACAUUUUCCGUUGUGUAGAAGCAAAAGGAAUCCGAGAUUAAUUGUAUUUGGAUUUUGCAAGAGAAAAAGCCGAACACCCCCACAAUUUUAACUCGGUGUGAGGGAGAUUCUGGAAACUCAUAUGCUGAACAGAUUUUUCUUGAUUCAGAAAUUUUAAGGUCAAAAACGCAAUAGGUCCACACGGGCUCAAAUGAUGUGACCUCCCCCUUUUUAUUUUUUAAACAAAUUUUCUUUCCAAAAUUUUUUUUAGAAAAUUUUAGAUGCAUUUGAUGGAAUCCAAUGGUCUAAAAAGCUUUGAUCACUUGCCAAAUGAAGGUAUUGGGGUUAGCUUUUCCUUUUUUUUUUUUUUGUAAUUUUAAUUAUUAGAGUUUAAAAUUGAGAUCUUUAAUUUUAGAGUCCAUUUUAAUAGUUUUAAAUUAAUAAUUUAUUAGUUAGAAUUAAGACUUAAUUUAAUUGAUUUAUGUCAUUAUUUGUAAAAAAAUAACAUUUAAAAAAUUUAAAAUUUAAAUCCCAAGAUUUACAAUUUUUUUUUUAUUUUGAAAGAUUAUGGUCUGUUUUAUAUAUAUAUAUAAAAUCUCAUUGGUUGGUAUUAGUGUUAGCUGACUAAGAGUAAUUAACAAAAUUCAAUCAAGUAGAAUCUUGACUAAGUCAUAUUGGGGCCUUUAAAUAAAAAAUCCAAUAUUGUAAAAUGAAAUUUUAUUAAAUUAACAAAUAUUAAUAAGAUUAAUUUAUAUUUGAUAAAGUGCUUUAUGUUCUACUUAAUAGAAAAAAAAAGGGAGGGUUAAUUUUGAGAGAGUUUAAAAAAAAUAAAAAUUCAAGGGAGUUAAUGUGGAACAACCUGUUUGGAUCAUUAUCACUAGUCUCUUACACCUAAAAAGAUUGAUUCCUUUUCUAAGAAAAUAUAUGAAAAUUGUAAUAUGUAUAUGUGGCUGUGUUGGAUUGAAUAGGUUUACUAAAUAUUUAAUUUAAAAUCAAACAAAAAAUUAAUUUAAAGAUAAAAUUUUAAAAUAAAGUUAAUAUUUAAUAAAUAUGAGAUAAAAUCAAUUAAUAUUUUUUUCUCAUUGUAAAACUAAUAUUAAUAUUAACUACUAAAACUAAAUAAAAUAAAAUUUGAAAUUUGAUAUUACAAUAAGUAUUUAAUUUGAAAUCAAUUAAUAAUAAUUAGAGCUGUAAAAAAAAUUGAAUAUAAACGAAUGAACGUAUGUAUGUAGUUUAUUCAUUUAUUUUUAAAAGUGUUCGGAUUUAGUUUGUAUUUAGUAAGAAAAUUAUUCUGUUAAUUCGAACUUGAUUCAUUUAAAUGAUACGAUAUUCAUAUUUAAUUCGUAUCUAGUUUAUAUUCGAUUCAAUUAAGUUAAAAAAAUUCGUUCGUGAACAUGAAGUGAACAUAUUCAUGAAUAUAUAUAAAUAAAUAUACUCAUAAACAAUAAAUAAAUUAUAAUCAAAUAAAUUUAAACAAACAAACUCUAAAGAAAUAUAAAUGAACCUAACUGAAUAUAAACAAACUUUAAAACAGUAUUAGGAUAAAUGAUACAAAUAUAAUUUUAUUAGUAUUAUUAUAAACGAAUAAUAAACAAAUGAGUUUAUUAAUGAACAUAAGCAAAUCUAAUCAACAUUUAUUCGUAUUUAAUUUAUUUAAUAAAUAAAUAUAAAAAAAUUGCUCAAGAUCAUUUCUUAAGUUUAAUAAACGAAUAAAAACUAAAUACGUUCAUGAACAAUUGAUAAAAAACUUUAUUCGUUUACAGUUAUUAUUAAUAUCUGAAAAUAUCUAACCUAAUAUAAAAUUUUAAAAAUUUUAAAAAUUUUAAAAAUUUUAAAACUUAACAUAUAUAUUAUAAUACCAUUUAAUAAUGAUUAGAUAAAUAAUCAUGCAUUAAAUUUAAUAUGUAUAAGAAUGCAUUAAUUUAGUCCAAAUUUAUAAUUAAUAGCUAUCAAUGACAAAUCCACCGCAACCAGAUUGUUUGAUGUUAGUUUAUCAAAUCCUGACGAACAAAAUGCUUGACAAACAAAUCCCUCACUCUUUUCUUAUGCAAAAAAUAUAUAUACUUUUAUGAGAAUUUAUAUUGUGCUUAUGGAAUUUUUUUUAAAGAAAAUCGUGAUUUAAAAAAAAAAUUAUAAAUAUUAAAAUUUGAAUUCUAAAUUUAGAUAUCACAUUUUUAAAAUAUUAUAUAAAUAAAUAAAAUAAAAUAAUAUAUUUUAUGUAACAGUUUCUUUGCCAUAAAGUCAAUUUCCUAAACAAUUUUUAAAUAAAAAUUACUAUUUUUCAUUUGAUAAUUAUCUUCAUCUUUAUAUAUAAAAAAAUUAAUAAAUAAUUGAUUCAAUUGAUUAAAAUUUUUUAUCUUUGAUGAAAAAUUUUUAUAUUCGAAUCUUAUCGGUAGUUAUUUAUUGAGAUUAUUUUAAAUACACGAUUUAAAUUUAUUUAUAUUAAAUUAUCAGAUAUGAUACAUGUUAUUUUAAUUUAAAAGACUAAAUAAUUUAUUUAUUUUUAAAUUUUUCCUAUAAAAAAAACUUGACAACAAAUAUAUUUAUAUUUAACUCUUAAAAAGAGUCUGAGUCAGAUUUUGCAAUUUAUGGCAUUUAUAAAGAUAAAGGAUUUGAAUUUUAAGGCAAAUUGUUGCUUUGACCUGUUGCUAUCAAAGCCAUGGAAACAUUAUAAAAUUGUGAGUACUAACAACCGUUGGCGUACUUUUUUUUUUUUUUUGCGACAAUGUUUUCCGUUGAAGACUAAAAUUGAUAUUUUUAUUUUUUUCAAGCUAUAAUUAUGGUUGAAUUUAAAAUUUUUAAUUUUUAAGUUGAUUUUAAUAUUAUUAAACUAUAAGCUCAUAAGUAAAUUUAUAUUAUUUUAAUUCUACUGUUUUAAAAAUAAAAAAUUUCUCUACUUCAAUUUAAUAAAUUUAAUUAGGUACUUUUAUUAAAAGUAGAUUUAAAGACAAUUGAUAAUAAUAUUAUAAUUAAAUAGUAAUUAAUAUUUUUAAUUCUAAAAACAAAAAUUUAAUAUUGUUAUUAAAUAAUAAAGUUUUUUCGUGUACAAAUGUGUCAUCCAGUAAAAGAAAAUUCUAACUAAAUGUCACAUCAUCAACAAGAAUGGGUUCAAUCAAAUUUAAUUACAAAAAUUUAAAACCAUCGUAAAAUGUUAUGAUAAAAAAAAUUAAAUUAAUUAAAAUUAAAUUACGAGGACCAACAUCACAUAAUUGAAAUAGUAAAUAAAUUAAAUUCAAAUUUUAAUAAUAUUUUUGGAUCAUACUUGAUCCAAUCUCAUAAAUUCCAUUUAAUUAUUUUAAAAAAAAAAUUGAACUCGAAAAUUUCAAAUUAAAAUAUGGGGGAUUUUUAUAUAUGCUGAAAUUGUGUUAUUUGUGACUUUUCCCUCUUGUAAGAGACUAAUUGAAAGUCAUACGGCGUGGGUUUUAUCUCGUCAUCCUCCUUUCUUUUUUGUAAGGGCAUUAAUUUUUUUUUUGCAAUAAAAAAAUUGUGCUAUUUGUAAUUUUUACCUAUGUAAUUAGUUGAUUUAUUUUAAUUUGUGACAAAGUUACAUGAGAUCAUCAUCAUCAUUAAUGAUAUGUAUUUUUGUAUAAUUUAAGAUUAAUAUUAUUAUUUUAAUCUGCAUACUUCUAUUCUAUAUAAAUAGGCAUGCAAAAUGUUUCCAUCACAAUUAACAAGUCUAGAAAAGAUGUCACAGAUGAAUAAAUAAAUCAAAUUAAAUAUAAAUUUCAAGGUCACCCUCUCAUGAGGAGGACCAUUCUAUUUUUUUAUAAUUUAGUUUAAUUAUUAAUUAAUUAUAGAUGGCUUUGACUAAUUAAGCAGCUCAAAAUUGCCUUUGCUACAUGGAUUUGAUGGGAUCUCAAUCAUAAAUCCGUAAAUGGUCUCCUGAUGUAGUCCACUUUGAUUUAACAUAAUGAACAAUUGACAUUUGGAAAGUAUUUUUUUGAUAUUUUUCUUCACGUACUCUUUGGUGAGUACAUAACAUGGUUUUGAAUUGUUAAUAUUUUUUAUUAAUUAAUCAAAUAGUGAUGUUAUAAAAAAUUUUGGUCAUUGAAGUCUUGUUUCAAUGGCAAGAAAAAAAAAAUCCUUAGAUCUUAAAUCAAAUUGUAUUAUACAUGAGUUUAGUCAAAUUUUAAUGUUAGUUUGUUUAAUUGGUUAGUUUAUUUAUUAAUUUUUUCUAUGAAUGUAAUAUCUUAUAAAUAAAUAAUAAGGAUUAAUUUAUCGUCUCAUACUAAUAUAAGAGUUAAAUAUUUUUUAAUUUUAAGUCAAAAUUAAAUUCAUAACACUUUUAUUUAAUUAUUUUAAUUCAAUGAUAAAAAAAGUGUAAUUCUUACGUUUAUAUAAGUGGAUCUAUCAAGUAUAACAAAAAUUCUACUUGUAACUGCAGCCAAUCAAAAUUUUUUUUGCUGAGGCAGCAAUUUUCUUUUAAAAUGCACAUAUGAAUAGAUAGAGCUAAUAAAAUCGGUCCAAAUUUUAAAAAUUUGUCAAAAUGUGAACUUGAUUUGGAUAUGCAUAACCCACAUCUAAAAUAAUUUAAACUCAAAUUAAUUCAAAAUACUAAUCUAAAAUGAUAAUGAACUCUAGUCAAAAUAUUCAAAAUCAAAAUGAUAAAAAAAAAAAAAAAUUCAACAAGGAAUGACCUGAUCCAAAACCCACUAAAUGCCCAAUUGCCACCUACAUUAAUAAGUUUAAAGGAAGACAAUUCCUUGAAUCUUCAAACUUUUUCUUUUAGUUAACAAUAUUAUUUAGAUCUGUUUGUCUCUAACAACUUGAAAAGGCAUUUGGAUUAAAAAAAAAAAAUGCAAAAGCAACACAAAUGCAUUCACAAAUCUAGAGUCCUUGCAAGUUUAUAUAUCCCAUAAAAUAGUUCUGGUUUUUGCAUUGCAUAAUCUUUUUUUAUUAAACUACUUAUCUACAUAAAGAUGCCAAAAAGUAGCCAUUACCAAAACCUGAAUUAUUAUCAAUUAACCCACGAAACUAAAGAAAAAAAAAUAGUAUAAUGUUGAAGUUGCUUAAAUUGUCAUUCACUUUUCCAAGUUUGGUUGAACAAAUCUUUUACAGGGCAUCCUAUCCUAACAAAAGAAAGUGGUCUCCACUCACCACUUACCAGCCUCAUCAUGGGCGGCCAGGCUUUCCAAUUGGUUACUAUUUUCUAUUCAUGAUAAGAGCAAGAAAUUGCCCUUUUCCCCCUUAACACAAAUUAAUGUUAUUUUAUUUGUAAAUUUGACAAUAUUGGCUCCAUUUUGAGGAAAUAAGAACCUUCCAUGAAACCAGUUACGAAGCGAUAAUCAAAAUUUUACAUCAAGAAAAUUUUUUUUUGUAUGUCGAGAUUUAAAUGUGAGAUUUAAUUCAAUUAAUUAUUUUAAAAAAAAUAUUCAUUAAAUUUAAAAUUUAAAUUUUAAAAUCAUAUUAAUUUUUUUAUUUUCAAAUUACUACCUUCUUUAUAUAUAUAUAUAUAUAUAUAUAUAUAUAAUUGUAUGUCAAGAUUUUAGGCAUAUAAAUAAGGAUAUGCUAAUUAAUUUGAAUUGGUGUUGAAAACAUAUAGAGCUUUACUUGAUAAUCACUUUUGCUUAGAUGAAUUUUCAAAUUUAAUGUUAAUCUCUUCAAACCUACUUUUUUUUUUCUUUUUAAUUCUUAAUAAUUGUUUUCUUGUUCACUUCUUUCUCCCACUUGUUAAUUGAAAAUAAUUAUUGGAGAUAAUUACAGAAAACAAAUACAUGUCCGUUCUUUUUAUUCCUUUUUUUCACUAAUUUAAGAGAAAAAUGCAAGUGCGUAUGCAUUUAAGCAUUUAACUCGAUGAUAAAUAUAUAUACAUCUUACUUGCAAAAUUAAAUUAAAAUUUUUCUUUCUUUGAAUAAAAAAAAAAGAAGAAAAAGAAAGACAUACUCAAUCUAAUCCUUUCCAUUUCUUCCCAAAAUCAUUCAAUUUUCCUUUAGAAUUGAUAAAGAAGAUAGCACCAGAUUAACUGAUGGUAACUUUAAGUUUUUUUUUUUUAAUUUUUUACCGUGGAUAAAGAGAAUGGAGUUAAUUUUUUUAUAUAAAAAAAUUGUAAUUUGAAUAUAAAAAAAUUAUAAGUAUUGAGAUUUUAAUUUUAAUUUUAUUAUUUUUUAAAAUAAUUAUAUAAAUUAAUUGGAUUAAAUUUUGAAUUAAAAAAAAUUGAUAUGGUUGCAUAUUAAAUUUUUGCAGCUGACUAAAACCAACUAUACCAAGUUAUCAUAGAUAUGCAAUAAAUUAUCAUUUUUUUUUUAAAUUGCAAUAAAUGAUUAUUAACAAUUAUUCUUUUGUUCAUUUUCAAUUUGCUAGGCUACUUACCAAACAUAAUGGAGAUUCCUUAGUUCUCAACCCGGAUUUCCAAGCUUUGCAUAUUUUUUCAUACGUUUCAAAGUCAAAUUAUUAAUUUAAAUAAAUAAGGUUUCUUCAAUCCCUUCCUCAAAUCUCAUGUUGGAUUUCUUUUGACCAAUAUGGCAUGAAAAAUCACAACAAAAAAAUUGAGAAACAAAAAAAGUCAUGAAAACAAUAAAAAAUUAUUACAAAAAAUUAAUUUAUAAUGUUAUUCUGAUGACAAAUGCGUGUAUUUGUUGCUGUGGUUUUUCAUAUAAACUUACCAACCAACAAAAACAGUGAUAACUUUCCAAAUUUUGUUUGUGAAAGUAAUGGCUUUAGUCAAAUACAAACAAUAUGAACAAACAAUCCAAAUCCAAUUCUAGAAAGAAAAGCAAAUUAUGCUUCAGCCUUGUCUGUGGCUCGUUGAGUCGGAUUCCGUGGUCAAACCCCAUGUCCUGAUGUUACCCCGAAGUAACCAGUCAACAUGGGCGGCUCAUCAGCCCCUUGCUUCGAAUGUCUCAUUUUCCCAUCAAAGAACAAGCACCAUAACCAAAAACUGAUUAAUAUUGAGAUUAUUUCCCAUUUUUUGUUUUGGAAAAGGUACUGUUGGCAAACGUUUCUUCCAAGCUUGGUCUCUGGUCUUCAGUGCAGGCUCUGUGUUCUUCCACUGACUUUACGAAUACGUUUACAACUUUUUAUUUUUUAUAUAUAUAUAUAUAUAUAUUUUGUCUUACUCCAAAAUUCAUUUCUCAAUUCUUCUCAUGUUUUUAUUUGAUGGUUGUGUAAGUAACUCAUUACUGCAAAAGUAAAUUUAACAAGAUGAAGAGGAAGAAGAUCAUGUCAGGAGACCAAGUUGUUCCAUGCCGUUUCAUUUUGUUUAUAUUCUUAAUCCUGAUUACAGGUAUGUUAUAAUCUUUUUAUCAGUUUUGGUCUGGUUUAAUUAGAUUCUAAGUUCUAGUUCCAAUAUGAUAUAUGAUUACAACAAUUCUGUUUAUAGGAGUAUCAUUUCUUGCUUAUAUUCAAUUAUUGAUUGGUGUUUAAAGAGCUUAAAAUCUUGGUGUUGAUAUUAAAUUUUCUUAUGCAUGCAUGAAAAUCUUUCAUGGGGCAGCUUUUUUUUUUUGUUUAUGUCUGUUAAUGAAUUGAUUUUGUGAUUUUCUAGGUUGAUUCUGUUGUCUUAUUGCAAUUUUAUUUCAGCAGUGAUGUUUUCUUACAUGUUUGAGUUCAAGAAAGAUUCUGUUUUUGCUUGAUGUUCAAAUUUCUGUUAUUUACAGGUACUAUUGUGGCCGGAGAUUCUUUAGACACAGACAAAGAAGUUCUGCUGAAUCUGAAAUCAUUCCUGGAAGAAAAGAAUCGCGUAAAUCGAGGAAGAUACACAGAAUGGAACGCUGACAGCUCGACACCAUGUCAGUGGCAUGGAAUCUCUUGUUCUCCUGAUGGGCAAAGAGUAAUUGGAAUAGACCUCUUUGACAACUAUAUUUCUGGGGAAAUGUUCAAUAACUUCUCAGCCUUAACCGAACUUCAAGAACUUGAUCUCUCAAGUAACACCAUUGGUGGAGCCAUACCUGACGAUUUGAACCUAUGCAGAAGCCUUGUAUACCUCAACUUAUCACAUAAUAUCCUAGAAGGAGAGCUGAACCUGACAGGGUUGAAUAGUUUACAGAAGCUUGAUUUGUCUACUAAUAGGAUUCGAGGGGAAAUUAAAGUUAAUUUUCCAGCAAUUUGCAAUAGACUGCUUGUUGCAAACCUUUCAACUAAUAAUUUCACCGGUGGUAUAGAUAGCUGCUUUGAUGAAUGCUGGAAUCUGCAGUAUCUGGACUUGAGCUCCAAUAAUUUUGUUGGCAAUAUAUGGAAUGGAUUUGCAAGGCUUGUGGUGUAUUCACUUUCUGAGAACUUUGUUUCUGGGACACUUUCAAGAUCAAUGUUUACAAGUAAUUGUAGUUUGCGGAUUUUGGACCUUUCACAAAACAAUUUUCGGGGUGAACUUCCAGGGGAGAUUUCAAAUUGCAAGAACUUGACUAUCUUGAAUAUAGGGGAAAACAAAUUUAAAGGGCCAAUUCCAUUAGAGAUAGGGACGAUUUCGACUCUUAAAGGUUUGCUCUUGGGGAACAACAGUUUUUCUAGGUUGAUUCCAGAAUCCCUAUUGAACCUGACGAAAUUGACCUUUUUGGAUUUGAGCAAGAACAAUUUUGGUGGGGAUAUACAAAAGAUUUUUGGGAGAUUCACACAGUUGAAGUUUCUUGUACUAGACGGAAAUUCAUACUCAGGAGGGAU
RNAcentral lists this long non-coding RNA (29465 nucleotides) under Durio zibethinus. RNAcentral's name for it is "long non-coding RNA (DZIB_LNC000115)". Lineage: Eukaryota; Viridiplantae; Streptophyta; Magnoliopsida; Malvales; Malvaceae. The record is from RNAcentral.